GAUGAACGCUGGCGGCGUGCUUAACACAUGCAAGUCGAACGAAGCACCUCUCCCGAAGAUUGACACAGCUUGCUGUAGAUUGAUUCAUUUGAGGUGACUGAGUGGCGGACGGGUGAGUAACGCGUGGGUAACCUGCCUCAUAGAGGGGGACAACAGUUGGAAACGACUGCUAAUACCGCAUAGUAAGAAGAAUUCGCAUGUUUUCUUCUUGAAAGAUUUAUCGCUAUGAGAUGGACCCGCGUCUGAUUAGCUAGUUGGUAAGGUAACGGCUUACCAAGGCGACGAUCAGAAGCCGGCUGGGGAGAGGGAACCGCCAAAUUGGGACUGGGACAGGGCCCAAACCCCUAGGGGAGGCAGCAGGGGGGAAUUUUGCCAAAGGGGGAAAACCCGAAUGAACCGACGCCGGGGGAGGAAAGAAUUUUUUCGGUUGUGAAACCCCAAGCCGCAGGGAAGAAAAUGGCGGUCCCGGCAUAAAAAGCCCCGGCAAACUACGU
Molecule: ribosomal RNA, 494 nt
Filed under: uncultured bacterium
Lineage: Bacteria
Description: partial 16S ribosomal RNA
Rfam family: Bacterial small subunit ribosomal RNA
Source: RNAcentral